Molecule: ribosomal RNA, 602 nt
Filed under: uncultured bacterium
Lineage: Bacteria
Description: bacterial SSU rRNA
Rfam family: Bacterial small subunit ribosomal RNA
Source: RNAcentral
UUACCAAGGCAACGAUGCAUAGCCGACCUGAGAGGGUGAUCGGCCACACUGGAACUGAGACACGGUCCAGACUCCUACGGGAGGCAGCAGUAGGGAAUCUUCCGCAAUGGGCGAAAGCCUGACGGAGCAACGCCGCGUGAGUGAUGAAGGUCUUCGGAUCGUAAAACUCUGUUAUUAGGGAAGAACAUAUGUGUAAGUAACUGUGCACAUCUUGACGGUACCUAAUCAGAAAGCCACGGCUAACUACGUGCCAGCAGCCGCGGUAAUACGUAGGUGGCAAGCGUUAUCCGGAAUUAUUGGGCGUAAAGCGCGCGUAGGCGGUUUUUUAAGUCUGAUGUGAAAGCCCACGGCUCAACCGUGGAGGGUCAUUGGAAACUGGAAAACUUGAGUGCAGAAGAGGAAAGUGGAAUUCCAUGUGUAGCGGUGAAAUGCGCAGAGAUAUGGAGGAACACCAGUGGCGAAGGCGACUUUCUGGUCUGUAACUGACGCUGAUGUGCGAAAGCGUGGGGAUCAAACAGGAUUAGAUACCCUGGUAGUCCACGCCGUAAACGAUGAGUGCUAAGUGUUAGGGGGUUUCCGCCCCUUAGUGCUGCAGCUAACGC